CCUACGGGUGGCAGCAGUGAGGAAUAUUGGUCAAUGGGCGGGAGCCUGAACCAGCCAAGUCGCGUGAGGGACGACGGUCCUAUGGAUUGUACACCUCUUUUGUCGGGGAACAAAGGCGCCCACGGGUGGGCGGAUGAGUGUACCCGACGUAAAAGCAUCGGCUAACUCCGUGCCAGCAGCCGCGGUACGACGGAGGAUGCGAGCGUUACCCGGAUUUAUUGGGGUUAAAGGGUGCGUAGGCGGACAGUCAAGUCAGCGGUAAAAAUGCGGUGCUCAACGCCGUACAGCCGUUGAAACUGGCAGUCUUGAGUGGGCGAGAAGUAUGCGGAAUGCGUGGUGUAGCGGUGAAAUGCAUAGAUAUCACGAAGAACUGCGAUUGCGAAGGCAGCAUACCGGCGCCCUACUGACGCUGAGGAACGAAAGCGUGGGUAUCGAACAGGAUUAGAUACCCUUGUAGUC
Molecule: ribosomal RNA, 459 nt
Filed under: uncultured bacterium
Lineage: Bacteria
Description: partial 16S ribosomal RNA
Rfam family: Bacterial small subunit ribosomal RNA
Source: RNAcentral